This 336-nucleotide ribosomal RNA is filed under the name Escherichia coli. RNAcentral describes it as "partial 23S ribosomal RNA". It matches the Rfam family "Bacterial large subunit ribosomal RNA", at positions 2305 to 2640 of the family's 2925-position model. The record is from RNAcentral. Lineage: Bacteria; Pseudomonadati; Pseudomonadota; Gammaproteobacteria; Enterobacterales; Enterobacteriaceae.
GGAGCACGAAGGUUGGCUAAUCCUGGUCGGACAUCAGGAGGUUAGUGCAAUGGCAUAAGCCAGCUUGACUGCGAGCGUGACGGCGCGAGCAGGUGCGAAAGCAGGUCAUAGUGAUCCGGUGGUUCUGAAUGGAAGGGCCAUCGCUCAACGGAUAAAAGGUACUCCGGGGAUAACAGGCUGAUACCGCCCAAGAGUUCAUAUCGACGGCGGUGUUUGGCACCUCGAUGUCGGCUCAUCACAUCCUGGGGCUGAAGUAGGUCCCAAGGGUAUGGCUGUUCGCCAUUUAAAGUGGUACGCGAGCUGGGUUUAGAACGUCGUGAGACAGUUCGGUCCCUA